UCGGGGGUACGGACAGAGCCCGUGAUCCGGGCGGCGGAAUUCAGAAUCGACGGCGUUCGCGCGUCGUCGGUUCGAUAUUUCCGUCGCCGUUCAAUUACGGACGUCGCGACCCGUUCGGUGUCGGUCCGAGGAGACGUGUAAAAGUUCGACGGCGCGUGUCGAGUCGUUUCGGCGGCUAGGCGCGCGUCGUUGAGUCGCGUAUUCUGGCCGACUCGCCGGACGGUACGUGUAACGGUGGCCGCGGCGACCUAGCGUCGUCGUUGGUACCGGUCUGCGACGAAUCUUCGGGCCUCUUUCCGACCCGUCUUGAAAAACGGACCAAAA
RNAcentral lists this ribosomal RNA (324 nucleotides) under Planococcus ficus (vine mealybug). RNAcentral describes it as "partial 28S ribosomal RNA". The record is from RNAcentral. Lineage: Eukaryota; Metazoa; Arthropoda; Insecta; Hemiptera; Pseudococcidae.